RNAcentral lists this ribosomal RNA (253 nucleotides) under uncultured bacterium. RNAcentral's name for it is "partial 16S ribosomal RNA". It matches the Rfam family "Bacterial small subunit ribosomal RNA", at positions 524 to 776 of the family's 1533-position model. The record is from RNAcentral.
UACGGGGGGGGCAAGCGUUGUUCGGAAUUACUGGGCGUAAAGGGUCAGUAGGCGGCCAACUAAGUCGGAUGUGAAAUCCCCAGGCUUAACCUGGGAACUGCAUCCGAUACUGGAUGGCUUGAAUUCGGGAGAGGGAUGCAGAAUUCCAGGUGUAGCGGUGAAAUGCGCAGAUAUCAGGAGGAACACCGGUGGCGAAGGCGGUUCUCUGGGAAUAUCCUGACGCUGAGGAGCGAAAGUGUGGGGAGCGAACAGG